AGUGAACGCUGGCGGUAGGCCUAACACAUGCAAGUCGAACGGCAGCACAGUAAGAGCUUGCUCUUACGGGUGGCGAGUGGCGGACGGGUGAGGAAUACAUCGGAAUCUACUUUUUCGUGGGGGAUAACGUAGGGAAACUUACGCUAAUACCGCAUACGACCUACGGGUGAAAGCAGGGGAUCUUCGGACCUUGCGCGAUUGAAUGAGCCGAUGUCGGAUUAGCUAGUUGGCGGGGUAAAGGCCCACCAAGGCGACGAUCCGUAGCUGGUCUGAGAGGAUGAUCGGCCACACUGGAACGGAGACACGGUCCAGACUCCUACGGGAGGCAGCAGUGGGGAAUAUUGGGCAAUGGGCGCAAGCCUGAUCCAGCCAUACCGCGUGGGUGAAGAAGGCCUUCGGGUUGUAAAGCCCUUUUGUUGGGAAAGAAAAGCAGCAGGUUAAUACCCCGCUGUUCUGACGGUACCCAAAGAAUAAGCACCGGCUAACUUCGUG
This 492-nucleotide ribosomal RNA is filed under the name uncultured bacterium. Its description in RNAcentral is "partial 16S ribosomal RNA". It matches the Rfam family "Bacterial small subunit ribosomal RNA", at positions 29 to 507 of the family's 1533-position model. The record is from RNAcentral.